Molecule: long non-coding RNA, 270 nt
Filed under: Fukomys damarensis (Damara mole-rat)
Lineage: Eukaryota; Metazoa; Chordata; Mammalia; Rodentia; Bathyergidae
Description: lncRNA (ENSFDAG00000027694.1)
Source: RNAcentral
GAGCUGGGUCCCGGAAGGACGCCAUGUUUGCUUCCUGCCACCCCAGGGCACUUGGUGACGCCUGGUUCCUAGACCUAGGUCAGGAAGGAGCACGGAAUACCCACCAAUUUCAGUGCUUUGAGGAGAGAGGAGGAGGCCCUCGCUGCUUGGACCCAGGAGAUGAAAUGUAGCUGGGCUGAGCCUGGCGCUGGAACCCUGCUCCUUUUGUCUUGUUUGGGUUACCCGUUUGCCUGUGACCUCGCUCCACCGAUACGGUCGCCUGCAGAGGAG